UCCGUCAGGGCGGCGAAGCCAGAGAUGCUGUUCGUGUCAAAAAAAAAGAAAAGAAAAAGAGAGGCAGAGAUGCUCUUCGGCGACGGCCCCUUCUUGUCGGCCAGCCCCCGCCGGCGAACCACGCUCGCCGACCUGAUAUUCUUGUGCUCAUUGGCCAGUCACAGGAGAUUACAUGUCUUUUGGUCAUUGCCAGAGUUAUAUAAAUGAUGACUGAAGUGGUGGUGACUGUUCACUUUCACCUUGACUCCGAAUGCUGGAUGUAAGGACAAGUAAGCUGUAAUUUUGGAGAAAAAGAAGACAAUGGAAGCUGGGCACAGUGAAGUGUAUCGUGCUCGUGAUCCAGUAAAAAAUAUCCAGGACGCCCAGGGGAUGUCCCUGCUGUUCCAACAUCCUCAGAGGUAAGAAGAACAAUCUGUGUUAUGCACGCUCUAAGUGUAAGGGACACAAAAAUACUGGCAGCAUAUAUAGACUGUAGCAAUGCCACCCCUGAAGCUUCUGUUAUAGAAAUAAAGAAAUUAAGGCGAGGCUUGCUCAUUCUAAGCACAUCAUUACAGUUAUUACACCCAUGUUAACUUUCUAUUGAAACUGCUAAUAGAAUAUACUCCUAGCUAGUACUCCUACUAGCAACUUGCGAAGAUGUCAAGACUCAAGACAUAAACAAAUCAACUAAUCAAGGGUGUUGGAGGCAGCAGACAUGCAACUAAUAAAGUUAUAAAGUGGAGUACUAGUAGAAACGAACAAAAAGGGAUUCAAGCACACACCAAGAGCUUGAUUGUGCAUGCAUGCAUACAAGAGUGCAUGGUGUCUGGAAAAGAAAGCGAUUAGACUGGGAGCAUCACCUUCCUGGUAGCCGGAUGCUGAAUGCUGCCGACCGCUGGCGGUGCUGAGAGGAGAUGAAAUGAAGCCUUUGAGAUUGCUGUGGGGCAAGGAAGAGAGGCAAAAUGGGGGAGAUGAGCAAGAGUCUCCUUUGUAUGCGCAAUGUGGUGAAGCGCCUGUGCUUGCUCGUAGUGGUCGGGCUUAUUUAUAGGCGCCACAAGAAGCUCCUCAUUUCAUACUCUUCUUCUUCCCUCCUUUUCUUCCCAGUAUAAAAGUAUAAAAGACGGCCGGGCAGUCUCGCUGACACGCGGGGCAGCCAGCCGGCGCGCCGUGGUCCAGGUGCCAGCGUUCGUUCGCACGUACGAAGGAGGGGAGACUCUCAUGAGGCCUUUGAACGGGAGGGGCAGAGGGGUAUCAUGCAUGGUCGAAAGGAGACGAUCCGAGCCAUGAUGCGCGCGGCAAGGCUUAAAUGGUGGCUAAUGAUGAGGUUGGGUUGCCCGGGGGGGCUGCCCUCACGUGAUGGUUGGCCGCAUUUCUAUUUUCUUUCUUUCUACUCCAUGACCAUGUCGUCACGUGUUCAAAUGUGCUCUUGCACUUGCACAAAAAGGAUUACGAGUUUUCGCCGGGCAUUUGGUGGGAUUGCACCGCUUCUCGUGAAAAUCGUUUUUGCUAUUGAAAAGUUGCAUGUUUUUUAAGUUAUAGAUCAGUCGACGUGUUUAACCGUUGGAUCUUAAUCUGAUCCAACGAUGGCACGUGGGAGAAAGAGAGCACCUAAAUCUUGCUCCAAGAGGUCUGGUCCGCAAACUUAGACUAAGGUUUUUCUUAAAAAGUCAGACACACGAGAUAUAACCACACCCUACGAAGAUUAUUGACAAUUCGACGUUUCCGAGCAAGCUGGUCCCUGUUUCUUAACUACCAAGCAGGAGCACAUAUAUAUUCUGAGAUGAGAAUUAUUGUAUGAGCAAAGGAGUUUUAAUAAAAUCAUACUUGGAGGACCAUGCAUGAUAAGAUAGCCAAGACAGCUAUUAGCUCUCCUUGGCUGCCAAUUGAGGCAACGUGCAUGGCCGGCCGGCUUCCAAUCGGUCAGCACCGUACUGCAUUCUUUCGUACUACUGCUUUUACACUGGACAGGUCAGUAAUUUUGUGCUGGUACAGCUCUAGAGGUUUUUAUUAGGUGGCCAAACAGAAAUGGUGAUCAGCGAGAGGAAGUGUGGAAGAGCGAGAGAGAAGGUACGGUACGACGAAGAGAACGAGGGAGAGGCUUCAAAUGAUGAUGAUGAUGGGCCUCGGCCGGCCCAAGAUUCGUAAUGAUGGCUCGUUUUCUCCGGGGGAUUAUUAUUACGACUUUACUGCACCCCGCGGAUGCCCAUCCUUCAGUACCACCCUCAGGUGAUCAUGAGCCCCUCUUCUCCCAAUUGAAUGCAUCACAAUUAUGCCACACGCCUCAAAGUAUAAUAGUAAUUUACAGCAUGCAACUCUUCCUUGUUUGCCCCUUUCCUCUCUGGCCCAUCUCACCUCUUGCCUUUUGCAAAGCCUCUUGUUGAAUGUGAUUGUUACAAGGAACAGAAUCUCCGAAGCAAAAGGCAUAUGGUAGGCUGGUACUAGCAGAGAUGGUCUCUAGGGAGGCAGAAAGGAAUGGGAGAAAAGGAAAAGGAGAUAAUGACGCUGCUAGCCAGCCUGGACUCUCGUGGCUGUAUAGAUGGGAGCAAUUUCCUUGAUGAGUUAAUACUCUCCCUAGACACAAGCUUGGCUGAUUAUGCACAAGCAAACAUGCUUGGAUUACAGGGAUCCCUGAUGCGGAUUUAAAAAAAAAGUCCUCUCAUACUAGGGAUAAUAAUAGUACUGAUCGAGCUUCACUGCAGCAAUGCUAAUCCUAGACGACACGUACUGCCGGUGUAUUGAUUUCCUGUGACAUUGAGGUAGUGUAGUUCGUUGUAAACCUGUAUGGUAAACCCUUUCAAACUUCCAUCAGAUGCAUGU
This is a long non-coding RNA of Brachypodium distachyon (stiff brome), 2796 nucleotides long. RefSeq lists it as uncharacterized. The record is from RefSeq and is a predicted model, not a curated record. Lineage: Eukaryota; Viridiplantae; Streptophyta; Magnoliopsida; Poales; Poaceae. The transcript has 4 exons.